UACUCUUCGUAUUCUCUCUCUCUCUCUCACUUUUCAAAAUUCAAACCCUAAUUUCCUCUGUUUUCCAUCGGCGAUUUGAGAUUGUUUCUGAUUGAACGAAGAUCUCGGCGGCUCGAUUUUCAAAGUCUCUCAGUAUGGAGAUUAAAACUGCAAGAAGAGGGCCACAGGGAAAAGAAAGUUCUGUUUUUGAUCGAUUAGGAGCAGGACGAGGAGGGCAUUUAAACAACAGCAGCAACAAGAUAUGCAAAUUUUGGCUCAGUGGUAGAUGCCUUAAAAACCCAUGUAGGUUUGCCCAUUCAGAAACACCUGAUGUGGCCACCAUUCACCGUCCCAGGCAGACUCCUUACUACCCUCACUCCAGCAACGCUUAAGUUUCGAAUACUUGGCGAAGGGCUCCUAGGAUUUCACAAAAUGUUCAGGAGAAGGUUGUUAACCACAAGUCUUCCAAAAAUGUUCCUGGGAAGUCUGAAUCAGACUUUGAAGAUAUUAAAAAGAAGUCGCCAGAAAGCGUUUCUGAGAGUUCUUCAGAAUGUUCUGUUGUUGAAAAUGAUUCUAAUCUGGAGAAUGUGGUUGAAGAAAAGCCUCUGGAGCAUGUUCCUAAGAAAACUGCAGAAAGGGUUUGUGAGUUCUGGGUGCAAGGGACGUGUGUCUAUGGUGAUCAGUGCCCUUACCUACACUCAUGGUUUCGUGGGGAUAAGUUCAAAAGGUUGGCAGAGCUUCAAGGGCACAACAAGGCAGUCAAUGGAAUUGCACUUCCUCUAAGAUGCAACAAGCUUUGUUCAGGUAGUAGUGAUGGAACAAUUCGGCUUUGGGACUGCCAUACUGGUCAAUGUGCUAAUGUGAUUAACCUUGGUGGCGAAGUUGGAUCUGUUUGUAGUGAAGGCCCAUGGCUCUUUGUUGGCAUGCCAAAUGUUGUGAAGGUGUGGAAUACUGAAUCAGGUGCUGAAUAUAGUCUCAAUGGACCUGUUGGGCAAGUCAAUGCAUUGGAAUCUGUUUACAAUUUGCUUUUUGCUGGGGUAGAGGAUGGUGUUAUUUUGGCAUGGAAAGGCACUUAUGAAACUAACCUUACAUUUCAACUUGCUGCAACCCUUAAAGGCCACACAAAUGGUAUAACAUCUUUAGUUGUUGGAGGAGGUAACAGGCUGUACUCAGGUUCCAAGGACCACACAAUAAGGGUUUGGGAUCAUGAAAAUUGGCAGUGUAUUAUGACACUGUAUGGGCAUGAUGAUGUUGUGAAGUCUCUCAUGUGCUGGGAUAAGUAUUUGUUCUCUGGUUCAUUGGAUUGCACAAUAAAAGUUUGGGCUUCUACUGAUGAUGGCAGCUUGGAAGUAAUCUAUACUCACAGUGAAGAACAAGGCAUCAUUGCACUUGCUGGGAUGACUGAUCCCGAUGUUAAACCAAUCUUGUAUUGCUCUUGUAGCGAUAAAUCUGUCCACCUCUAUGAACUGCCAAUAUUCACUGACAGGGGCAGAUUAUUUGCAAAACAAGAAGUCCAGACUCUUCAAAUAGGUCCUGGGGGCCUCUUUUUUACUGGGGAUCAGACUGGUUUGCUGACAGUGUAUACAUGGGUAGCAGACUAAUGGCUGUGACGUUUCCAAGACUAGUACAGCAUGGUUUUUAUUACUUAUGGCAAACAAUGUACUGUAUUUUGAUCACAUUUUCCAAUGUACAGUAUUUUGAGUACAUUUUCCAAUGUACGAUAUUUCGAGUUUAGAAAUUCAUGUUAUUAUGAAUAUUGUGGAUAAAACAAUGUAAUACUACGUAAUGAAAAUAAAUAGCUACAUAACCUAAGGU
This is an RNA transcript of Quercus lobata, 1794 nucleotides long. It is a transcript of the gene named zinc finger CCCH domain-containing protein 17-like, with no coding region annotated. The record is from RefSeq and is a predicted model, not a curated record. The transcript is spliced from 8 exons. NCBI's taxonomy places the organism in Eukaryota, Viridiplantae, Streptophyta, Magnoliopsida, Fagales, Fagaceae.